This is a small nucleolar RNA of Callorhinchus milii (elephant shark), 125 nucleotides long. Its record names the gene SNORD22. It matches the Rfam family "Small nucleolar RNA SNORD22". From Rfam's summary of the family: U22 is a member of the C/D class of snoRNA which contain the C (UGAUGA) and D (CUGA) box motifs. U22 is encoded within the U22 snoRNA host gene (UHG) in mammals and has also been identified in Xenopus. NCBI's taxonomy places the organism in Eukaryota, Metazoa, Chordata, Chondrichthyes, Chimaeriformes, Callorhinchidae. The record is from Ensembl.
UCCUCAGGAUGACUUCAUUGCAUGUCUUAUGUGUUGUCAGGAGCCAGAACCUGCAAAGGUGAACCCACUGGUAUCUGCUGCAUGAAAUGAGGCGAACCUGUUACUUGUGAACUGUCUGAUAGGAC